AUUGAACGCUAGCGGGAUGCUUUACACAUGCCAGUCGAACGGCAGCGCGGACUUCGGUCUGGCGGCGAGUGGCGAACGGGUGAGUAAUGUAUCGGAACGUGCCCAGUAGCGGGGGAUAACUACGCGAAAGCGUAGCUAAUACCGCAUACGCCCUACGGGGGAAAGCAGGGGAUCGUAAGACCUUGCACUAUUGGAGCGGCCGAUAUCGGAUUAGCUAGUUGGCGUGGUAACGGCUCACCAAGGCGACGAUCCGUAGCUGGUUUGAGAGGACGACCAGCCACACUGGGACUGAGACACGGCCCAGACUCCUACGGGAGGCAGCAGUGGGGAAUUUUGGACAAUGGGGGCAACCCUGAUCCAGCCAUCCCGCGUGUGCGAUGAAGGCCUUCGGGUUGUAAAGCACUUUUGGCAGGAAAGAAACGUCGCGGGCUAAUACCCCGUGGAACUGACGGUACCUGCAGAAUAAGCACCGGCUAACUACGUG
RNAcentral lists this ribosomal RNA (484 nucleotides) under uncultured bacterium. RNAcentral's name for it is "partial 16S ribosomal RNA". It matches the Rfam family "Bacterial small subunit ribosomal RNA", at positions 30 to 507 of the family's 1533-position model. The record is from RNAcentral.